AGAAAAUUUUUUAAAAAAUUUCAUUAUAGCUUCUCUUAAAUUAUAUGAAAUAAUUAAAAAUUUUCAUUAUAGCUUCUCUUAAAUUAUAUGAAAUAAUUAUUUAUUCUGUUAGAACUUUAAAAGUUUUAUGAGAUCCGAAUUUAUGUUAUCAUGCUCUAAUUCUAUACUAGUAAAGUUAUCUGUGCGUUGCGGCGGGCUAAUACUAUAGAAGAAAAAAGAUUGAUAAAGUUAAAAUUUUUAAAUUUUUGACUUAUUAUAAGACAUCUAUAAAUAUAAAGCGGAUAUGUAUAAAUAUAACAAAAUUUACAGUAACAAAUAAAUUAUACAUAAUAAUAAUGAAAGAAACAGUAAUAAAGUUACUACUCUACACGCACCUUGAUCGUGCUGCCAAGAUCGGAGAGGCGAUUAACGUUCUCUGCGUCGCCUCCACCGCCAUUAUCGGCUUGAGCUUCUCUUUGGUUACGGUCAUAUCAAUUCUGUUUGGAUCCCCCCACACCCAUUGCUUCCUCUUUUCAUCGACUCUAAAUUCAUCGCACUUCACCUCGCUGCGUCGCCACGAUCCUCACAACCCUAAUUUCAAUUCGUGCACAAUUUUUAAAAAUAGAAAAAAAUAUUUAAAAUAGAUAAAAAAUUAACCCUUCUUGUGCAUUAAAAAAAAUAAAAAAAUAAUAAAAAAGAAUAUGAAGAGAUCUUAUCUUGUCUUACUUUUUUUUUUAGAACGAUUUGUUUAGAUGAAAAUAGAUCAUGUGAAUACAUAAAUUCGAAAGUAGGCGGGUGGAAAAACGAAGUAUCGGACAGAGAUAGGGGUGGAAAGGCAAAACAUCAAGAAGUGGAAAGGAGGUGAAAGAAAAAUUAUCACGUGGCACACUUCAUGAGAAAUAAUAUAUAGAUUACUUUAAUUUGUAUGGCUUUACCACUUUAGAAAGGAAAUUUUUUUUUUUUUUUUUUGAGAGAUAGGUAAUACGCUACCUGCUUUGUUUAUUUUAUUUAGAUAUAAAAUUAGCUGAAAAUAUGAAUCAAUAAGGAUUUGAACUUGGGACCUUAAAUAUUAAUCACCAAGUCCUUUGCCAAUUACUCUAGAGACAGCCAGUUAGAAAGAAAAAAAGUAAUUAGAAACUUUAUGCUUGG
This 1128-nucleotide long non-coding RNA is filed under the name Ananas comosus (pineapple). Its description in RNAcentral is "long non-coding RNA (ACOM_LNC015873)". Lineage: Eukaryota; Viridiplantae; Streptophyta; Magnoliopsida; Poales; Bromeliaceae. The record is from RNAcentral.